Molecule: ribosomal RNA, 253 nt
Filed under: uncultured bacterium
Lineage: Bacteria
Description: partial 16S ribosomal RNA
Rfam family: Bacterial small subunit ribosomal RNA
Source: RNAcentral
GACAGAGGUGCCGAGCGUUAGGCGGAAUCGCUGGGCUUAAAGCGUGUGUAGGCGGAUGCCUAAGUACCUUGUGAAAUCCCACGGCUCAACCGUGGAACUGCUUGGUAUGCUGGGUGUCUUGAGCUAUCUAGGGGCAACUGGAACAAACGGUGGAGCGGUGAAAUGUGUAGAUAUCGUUUGGAACGCCAAUGGCGAAAACAGGUUGCUGGGGAUAUGCUGACGCUGAGACACGAAAGCCAGGGGAGCAAACGGG